This 916-nucleotide ribosomal RNA is filed under the name uncultured bacterium. Its description in RNAcentral is "bacterial SSU rRNA". It matches the Rfam family "Bacterial small subunit ribosomal RNA", at positions 246 to 1155 of the family's 1533-position model. The record is from RNAcentral.
UUGUUGGUAAGGUAAAAGCUUACCAAGGCUUCGAUCAGUAGCUGGUCUGAGAGGACGACCAGCCACACUGGGACUGAGACACGGCCCAGACUCCUACGGGAGGCAGCAGUGGGGAAUUUUGGACAAUGGGGGCAACCCUGAUCCAGCCAUGCCGCGUGAGUGAAGAAGGCCUUCGGGUUGUAAAGCUCUUUCAGCCGGAACGAAACGGUUACGGUUAACACCCGUGACUACUGACGGUACCGGAAGAAGAAGCACCGGCUAACUACGUGCCAGCAGCCGCGGUAAUACGUAGGGUGCGAGCGUUAAUCGGAAUUACUGGGCGUAAAGCGUGCGCAGGUGGUUUUGUAAGUCAGAUGUGAAAGCCCCGGGCUCAACCUGGGAACUGCGUUUGAAACUACAAGACUAGAGUGUGGCAGAGGGGGGUGGAAUUCCGCGUGUAGCAGUGAAAUGCGUAGAGAUGUGGAGGAGCACCGAUGGCGAAGGCAGCCCCCUGGGUCAACACUGACGCUCAGGCACGAAAGCAUGGGGAGCAAACAGGAUUAGAUACCCUGGUAGUCCAUGCCCUAAACGAUGUCAACUAGUUGUCGGGCCUUUACGGGCUUGGUAACGUAGCUAACGCGUGAAGUUGACCGCCUGGGGAGUACGAUCGCAAGAUUAAAACUCAAAUGAAUUGACGGGGACCCGCACAAGCGGUGGAUUAUGUGGAUUAAUUCGAUGCAACGCGAAAAACCUUACCUACCCUUGACAUGUAUCGAAGCCCGCAGAAAAGCGGGGGUGCCCGAAAGGGAACGAUAACACAGGUGCUGCAUGGCUGUCGUCAGCUCGUGUCGUGAGAUGUUGGGUUAAGUCCCGCAACGAGCGCAACCCUUGUCAUUAAUUGCCAUCAUUUAGUUGGGCACUUUAAUGAGACUGCCGG